GACACGGUCCAGACUCCUACGGGAGGCAGCAGUGGGGAAUUUUGCGCAAUGGGGGAAACCCUGACGCAGCAACGCCGCGUGGAGGAUGAAGUCCCUUGGGACGUAAACUCCUUUCGACCGGGACGAUUAUGACGGUACCCGCUGAGGAAGCCACGGCCAACUCCGUGCCAGCAGCCGCGGUAAUACGGAGGUGGCAAGCGUUGUUCGGAAUUACUGGGCGUAAAGGGCGCGUAGGCGGCAUGGUAAGUCGGAUGUGAAAUCCCCGGGCUUAACUCGGGAACUGCAUCCGAAACUGCUUUGCUUGAGUCCUGGAGGGGGUAGUGGAAUUCCCAGUGUAGCGGUGAAAUGCGUAGAUAUUGGGAGGAACACCGGUGGCGAAGGCGGCUACCUGGACAGUGACUGACGCUGAGGCGCGAAAGCUAGGGGAGCGAACGGGAUUAGAUACCCCGGUAGUCCUAGCCGUAAACGAUGGGCACUUGGUGUUGGGGGUAUUGAGUCCCUCGGUGCCGGAGUUAACACGUUAAGUGCCCCGCCUGGGGAGUACGGUCGCAAGACUGAAACUCAAAGGAAUUGACGGGGGCCCGCACAAGCGGUGGAGCAUGUGGUUCAAUUCGACGCAACGCGAAGAACCUUACCGGGGCUCGAACGGUAGUUGCUACUCCUGGAAACAGGGGAUUCUCUUCGGAGACGGCUAUCGAGGUGCUGCAUGGCUGUCGUCAGCUCGUGUCGUGAGAUGUUGGGUUAAGUCCCGCAACGAGCGCAACCCUUGCCCUUAGUUGCCAUCAGGUAAAGCUGGGCACCCUAAGGGUACUGUCGGCGAAAAGCCGGAGGAAGGUGGGGAUGACGUCAAGUCCUCAUGGCCCUUAAGUCCCGGGCUACACACGUGCUACAAUGGUCGGAACAAAGGGUCGCCAACCCGCGAGGGGGAGCUAAUCCCAAAAAACCGAUCUCAGUUCGGAUUGCAGUCUGCAACUCGACUGCAUGAAGUUGGAAUCGCUAGUAAUCGCAGAUCAGCACGCUGCGGUGAAUACGUUCCCGGGCCUUGUACACACCGCCCGUCACAUCACGAAAGUGGGUUGUACUAGAAAUCGCUGGGCUAACCCGCAAGGGGGGCAGGCGCUUAAGGUAUGAUCCAUGAUUGGGGUGAAGUCGUAACAAGGUAGCUGUAGGAGAACCUGUGGCUG
RNAcentral lists this ribosomal RNA (1184 nucleotides) under metagenome. RNAcentral's name for it is "bacterial SSU rRNA". It matches the Rfam family "Bacterial small subunit ribosomal RNA", at positions 323 to 1520 of the family's 1533-position model. The record is from RNAcentral.